GUUGUCUCUCUGCCCAGUCUCCAUCUCCCUUCCCAGCCAUGGCCUUCCUAGUGCCUGCCCUUCCCCUGCCGCCCCUCUCCGUGGACGCCGCCCAUGGAGGGUCGCCGGCUGCACUGCUUCCCAUCUAUCCCACCGCCAUGGAGCUCGCCGGAUUGCGUCCCUGCAUCCAUGGCGGCUGCUUGGCCCCAGCUCCUUGCCGCGCCCUUCCAGUCCCUCUGCCGGCCAUGGAGCUCGGCCCUAGCUCGGAUUCUUGCGUCGCGCCCGGCUGUUUCUCCCUGGCGCUCGAAACCCAGUCGCCCAGCCCAGCUGCAGCUCGUCGUGCCCUCGCUGCUCCCUGCUCCUUGUUCUUCUCGGCACGACAGAGAGUUUCCUCGGCCGCGCGUCCCUACUUCCCCUGCGCGUACGUGCUUGCUUCCUCUGUCGCAGCAGCGAAGCUGUUUCUUCCCCGUCGCGCGCAGCCGCGUCUGCUCCGUGCGCACGCGCUCAACCUGUUCGCCAUGGUUGCUGCGCGCCACGCAUACUGCUCUUUGGAGCUCGGUCGUAACCUCGUCAUCGUUCGGCAGCUCUAGCGCCUCUGUUUUUUCCUGCGCGCGCUGGUGCCCAGCUCGUUUGGGGCUGCGUGUGCUCCUACGUCGCGCUCUGCUUGCAGAGUUCCUUCGCAUCGUGCAUCUCCAGCUCGCCGAGUCUGACCCCAAACCGUCGUGCGCCGCCUGGGCCCGGUGUCUCUUUCUCGUCACCAGCUCGCGCGCCCCUGUUUUCUUUGUCGUCGGUCGUCGUCUUCGAGUUGAUUUUUAGCUGUUGUAGUAUUUUUAGUUAUCCCGGCUGCGUCUGUGGCCGUCAAAUCAUCGGAGUCGCUCAACUCACCAAUCGUAUCUUGGUCAGUCAUCGAUUUCAUGUUUUUCAUGGUCCUCACGUCAGCCGUCCCUAUCCAAACUUGCCAGCUCGCCGACUGACCGUCGUGUUCCUUGAAAUCCCUCGUCGGCCGAUCUUGCAACUUAGUUCGUCGUGUCGUGUGUGCCGCUCUAUAUAUGCCACCCUCCUAUAUCGUCGUCGAAGCUGUCAUCUCCGGCUCGAUCCCCACCUCACCAGUUCGCUCCAGACUUUAAUUGAAGGUCGUCGUCGAUCUGUGCGUCAUCAAGAAAUUCCAAGAGUCAAGUGAAGACGGAGCCAGCAACGUGAUAUUCACCAAGUGCGCGACAAAAAGCUCAAGCCAGGAUUUAUCAGCAUUCGUACGAGAUUUGGGUCGCGUUUGAUGCUGGUAUGUUUAUUGACCACGUGAUGUGGACAAAUAAAGCUGAGUCGACCCCAAGAUGACCUAACGGGUGGACUAAUCCGCAGGAUGAAGCUGAUGGAUUAAUCUGAAGACGGGUAAUUGGAGCAAUGCGAAGACAAAGGAUGAUCGUCAAGUGGUCAUCGUCUAACAACACUAACCUAGUGUUACCCAGGCAAGCCCCGGUGCAUGCAACCCCUUCCUUGUGUUUUUAAAUACUUUUCGCACACUUAAGUCUAGUGAAUGUGCAU
This 1521-nucleotide unclassified non-coding RNA is filed under the name Zea mays. Its description in RNAcentral is "misc RNA Zm00001eb235650". Lineage: Eukaryota; Viridiplantae; Streptophyta; Magnoliopsida; Poales; Poaceae. The record is from RNAcentral.